RNAcentral lists this long non-coding RNA (3989 nucleotides) under Homo sapiens (human). RNAcentral describes it as "HSALNT0310063". The record is from RNAcentral. Lineage: Eukaryota; Metazoa; Chordata; Mammalia; Primates; Hominidae.
AGUGCUGUGUAUGCAGCCAUAUAGUGAAUGCCUUCAUUUGCACCCUGAACUCUGAAUAGUCACUUUUAAAACAUCCAUCUGUCAUCCAUCUAGUGAGGUCAGGAGAGUGGCUGCUUAACUUCUGGGGGUUGCAGAAAAGGAAGAAGAAUCAGCAGAGAGCAUUUGUGGCCAGCAAAGCUUAAAAUAUUUCCUAACCGAUCCUUUGCAAAAAAAGUUCACCCACUCCUGUAGUCAGCAGCUCCCCUACUGUGCGCAGUCAGUGUGCCAUCUCAGACUAGCAAAGGUGAGUAAAACCAUCCCUGCCCCUAAUCAAUUUACAAUCUGCAUCCUCAGGGCAAGAGCCUAGUAAGCAAAAGGCAAAAUAAGAUGGCGCCAGAUAAGGGCUUCAAAGGAAGAGAGACCAGGUUUGGUGGGGAAAUAGGGGGUGGCUUCUUAGCAGGUUUUCUUUAGAUGAACCUUGAAGAUAAAAAGAGAUUUUGAUGAAUAAGGGUGGGUGAGAUGCAGAGGGGGUCAGCGCUGUGUCCUGGAACCAGUGAGUGAUUCCAUUUCAGAAGCACCCGGGGAGGCUAAAGGGUAGAUUCUAAGGCCAGAAAGAGAGGAGAAGGUCGUAGGCUGGAGACCAUGAUGAGGAGUGUAUACAGAGGGAGAGAGGAGAGAUUCCUGCACUUAGAGGCCAAAAGGACAACAAUUUGCACUUUUACUUUGGUGUCGGAAAGAACCGUAGUCUCAUAUGGUUACACGGAAGUGUUUUAUGAUAAUCAGUGAAAAAUGAGGAAAAUAGUCUCUCUUAGGCUGAGCACCUAGGAAAUGAGUGGCUCUUGGCUGUAAGUCAAUGAACAGCAUUAAUAUAUGCAGUUACCAAGUCAUCAUUAACACAUAAAGCACUGCAGGGUUUCAAUCGAUUCAUCAGAAUUCUUGAAAGUCCUAUUUUAAGGCAGUUCAAACAGAGGCGAGGCAGCUGAACCUGGUGAGGCUGCCAGGAACAGCGAGUUCUGCCUCUGAAUUUGCUCCUGACUCAGUGCCUGACCUUGGGCAAGCACUCAACGUCUCACUAUCUCAGUUUCCUCAGCCAUAAAAUGGGGAUAACAGACCUUAGCCACCUCAUAGGAGUGUCAUAAAUGUCUGCAAAAACCUUUCAAGGUAAGUGCUCCUGGAAACGGACAAGGUGGGGAGGGUUCUUUUUCAAUCGUCUAGGCGGGAAAAUGAGGUUAUCAAAAUUAAAAUAGGAGACUACUUUGUGAAACAGAAAUGAUUGUGGAUAAAUGAUGCAAAGCCGACAGAUGAUUAAAGGUACCCAUAGUCUACCAGUUAAAAUCUCUGUCAGGAUUUUCUAAAUUAACGUCAGGACAUCUUCUUUGUUGUUGUUUAAGGAUGGAAGAGAAUAUUAAAAAUCAGACAGGACCACCUUAGGGUAUGUGGUCUCACAUAUCUGUUCUAUUUGCUUUUUCGAAGCUUAGAAUAUUCUGCUCAAUUCUCUGGGUAUUACUCAGUUAUAAAGGUGCAGAGGGAUGCAUCUCCUUCUGCACUUUCUUUACUCUGUAGAUUUUCCUAAUCUGUCCUAGAGAGGGACUGUGGCAGGGUCUGCAGACAGAAGGGCUGCCUUGUAGCCAGCCAUCUUUGUAUGACCUCUGCCAUUGGCCGUUGGUGGCCGAGAAAGACACUGAAGUCUCUCGAGAAAGCUGAAGACCCAACCCUGAGAUGUACCCACACUGCACCUGGAGCAGACAAUUGGGCUAGAAGACAAGUUCUGCUCUGCUCUGGAAAGUUUGUCCAGAGAGGAAAGACAGGCCAAAAUAGUUCAGUAUGCUGUCUUACUGGGAGGACAACAGCUUAAGCCACAAAGCCCUGAGUUUGACCCUAGAACUCUGUGGCUACUGGUGACUCAUCUUGAAAAUUAUCAGAUUGAAUCUUCUCUACCGGUUUGAUAACAACUGAUGAGUGGAAAAAGAACGCCAAUCAAAUGUGCAUGCUUAAUAAGCAGCCUCCUUAUUCCCCUCUGCAGAUUUGUGCUUGGAUCAUCUACACUUCCCUGAAUGUUGAAGAAGAUAUGCUAUCCAUGCAAUCCUUGUCGACUGCUUGAUUAAAAAGUGGAUAAACUGUCUUCAGGCCCUUGGAGUAUGGUGUCUGUGUGAAGAAGGGAAUGAGGCAGAAGUAGCAGUCAGUGGUGGCUGAAGUAGGAGAAAGUGCUUGCUAAUGAAAUCUUGAUUUUUCUGUGGCUUUUCUGUGCAAUUGGGUGGCUAAGUAGGAAAGCCAUUGGAGCUUCACUGUAUCAAUUCUGCCUUUCUUGUUUUUUGGAACUCCAAUUCACCAAGGCUCCCUGCCACCCUAUCCAUCUAUAACUUUUCAUCACUUUUUCCUCAAAGUAAGAAGUGUGUCCCAGAAAAUGUGCCUUUGUGACUCAGCAACAUUUCAAAUCCAUCUGAGCCUUCCCAGCGUUCCAAAAGAAAUACUGAUUUGAAUUCAGCUGCUUAAAAAACCAGUCUCUAAGCAGACAGCUUGAAACUUCCUUACAGCAAUAGUUUAGGCUUUGGAGGGGAAAUUGGUUUGUUUUUAAUUGUUUUAAUUUUUCAUUCAAUUCAUUUGCCGCCUGAUUAUAUAUGAUCUUUUGAGCCCAAUACUCUGCUAAAUUAACCUUGACUUUCUUUCUCUCUUUCUCUCUCUCUCCUUCUCUCUUUCUUCCUUUCUUUCUUUCUUUUUGACAGAGCCUUGCUCUGUCGCCCAGGCUGGAAUGCAGUGGCACAAUCUCAGCUCACUGUAAACUCCGCCUCCAAAGUUCAAGCAAUUCUCCUGCCUCAGCCUCCUGUGUAGCUGGGAUUACACACGCCAGCCACCAUGCCUGGCUAAUUUUUGUAUUUUUAGUAAAGAUGGAGUUUCACCCUCUUGGCCAAGCUGGUCUCGAACUCCUGACCUCAACCUUGGCCUCUCAAAGUGCUGGGAUUACAAGCAUGAGCCACCAUGCCUGGCCUUACCUUGAUUUUUUUUUUUUGAGACAGAGUCUCACUCUGUUGCUCAGGCUGGAGUGUAGUGGCUCGAUCUUGGCUCACUGCAACCUCCAUCUCCCGGGUUCAAGAGAUUCUCCUGCCUCAGCCUCCCAAGUAGCUGGGACUACAGGUGUGGGCCACCACGCCUAGCUAAUUUUUUAUAUGUUUACUAGAGACAGGGUUUCACCAUGUUGGGCAGGCUGGUCUUGAACUCCUGACCUCAGGUGAUUCACCUGCCUCGGCCUCCCAAAAUGCUGGGAUUACAGGUGUGAGCCACCACACCCGGCCCCUACCUUUGAUUUUUAAGUCAAGAGGGAACAAGUCGAAAUUUCUAUUCAGGUAAACUGUAUACCUUUGGACACUGAAUCACUUUUAGAACCCCAGUAAAAAUCAUGUAUGAAUGACCCACAAUUUCACUCCAACAGGAAGGUGUGUAUAUGUGCACAAAAACAUUAGAUUGUUCACACCGGUGCUAUUCAUAAUAGUCAAAAACUGGAAACAACUCAAACAUCCAUCAACUGUAGAAUGGAUAAAUAAAUCAUGAUAUAUUCAUACCAUGGAACAUAACAGUGACAAUAAAUGAACCACUGCUACACACAACAGAUAUGAAUUUCACAAACAGAAUGCUGAGCAACAGAAGCCAAACACAGAAGGAUACACAUUUAUAAAUCCAUUUGUAUGAAGUUCAUAAACAGACAAAAUUAGUCAGUGGAGAUUAUUCUCAUAGAAGUCUGAAGGGUAGUUGUCUUUAGGGAGGGGGAUAUAGUGACUGAGGUGGGUAUAAGGGGUUUCUGGGGUUUGGUGAUGGUACACCAGCAUAUUCACUCUGAAAACUCAUUGAGCUGUGCAAUAAUGAUUUUUCAAACUUUUAUAUGUGUAUGAUAAUGCUUCAAUAAAGCUUUGCUUAAAAACACGCAUAGUCAUUGCUAUGGUGUGAAUGUUUGUGUGCCCCCGUUCACCAAAUUCAUAGGUUGAAAUCCUAACCCCCAAGGUGAUGAUAUUAGGAGU